This 584-nucleotide small RNA is filed under the name Pongo abelii (Sumatran orangutan). RNAcentral describes it as "processed transcript". Lineage: Eukaryota; Metazoa; Chordata; Mammalia; Primates; Hominidae. The record is from RNAcentral.
GUUACUCCCAUCAGUUUGUGCUUUCAAACUGAUGGCUGACUUCUCUGAAUUUGUGUAGAGCACAACGAAUGCUGUGCUCCGGGGGCUGCGGUGCACCCUUUUUAAAGGGACCCUGCAAUCUCAUUGUUUAAUUUGACUCUUUAGUGCUUCAGUCACAUCAGCACUUGCAGAGGGGUUGUUCUUUUCCUUUUUCUUCUUUCUCUCUUUUUCUCUUCUCUCUGUCCUUCUCCCCACCCCCAUCCCUCAAUUCAGGCAGUUUGGGGUGGGAAAAACUUGAGCACUGGUUCCGACAGAGCUCAUCUCACAUAAGAAGGUAUGGAAGAGCUGCAGUGAUCGACAGCAUCGACCGUUCUGUAACUCCUUAAAUUUGAGAGCUGCAGGGCUUCCUGAAGAAUGAGAAGGACAAUGCCCUGCUGUCUGCCAUUGAAGAGUCCCGGAAGAGGGGUCAUUGUUCUCUGUUCCUUUCUGACAGACCUUUGGCAUGGCUGAGGAGUACCAUCGAGAGUCAAUGUUGGUCGAGUGGGAGCAAGUGAAACAGCGAAUUCUGCACACACUGCUGGCAUCAGGAGAAGACGCCCUUGACU